AUUGAACGCUGGCGGCAGGCCUAACACAUGCAAGUCGAGCGGAGCGGCGGACGGGUGAGUAAUGCCUAGGAAUCUGCCUGGUAGUGGGGGAUAACGUCCGGAAACGGGCGCUAAUACCGCAUACUAUCAGAUGAGCCUAGGUCGGAUUCGCUCGUUGGUGGGGUAAAGGCCUACCAAGGCGAUGAUCCGUAACUGGUCUGAGAGGAUGAUCAGUCACACUGGACCUGAGACACGGUCCAGACUCCUACGGGAGGCAGCAGUGGGGAAUAUUGGACAAUGGGCGAAAGCCUGAUCCAGCCAUGCCGCGUGUGUGAAGAAGGCCUUCGGGUUGUAAAGCACUUUCAGGGGGGAGGCGUUACCCGCAGAAGAAGCACCGGCUAACUCCGUGCCAGCAGCCGCGGUAAUUC
RNAcentral lists this ribosomal RNA (407 nucleotides) under uncultured bacterium. Its description in RNAcentral is "partial 16S ribosomal RNA". It matches the Rfam family "Bacterial small subunit ribosomal RNA", at positions 30 to 526 of the family's 1533-position model. The record is from RNAcentral.